AGAGGGGGCCCCCCGGAAGGAAGGCAGGCAGGGUCUGGGCGUGCUGAGAGCACCAAACUGUUCGAUGGAGCCCCACUUCCAGACACUGGACCCUGCACGAGGCCCUGGAAUGCGGCUUUGUGCCAGGCCCUUGGUGCAUUAAUUCUCCCGGGGAAUCCUUAGAAGACGGGAUCCUGAUUUUCCAGGUGAAGCUGAACACAGGGUAGGCAGCCGACCAGGGUGCCACAGCCGGGCGCUGGAAGCCAGAAGAUCCAAAUGCAAGCCCAUGGUCUGCACAAAGACUAAACAAACCAAAGAAAACCGUCAGGGAGACAGUUUGUUCCCAGCUGGGCGUGGAAAAAUCCGCAGAGGAGGGAGGCCUCCAUCGAGUUGCUGCUGUGGUCUGAGGCAGUUUACCUGGAUGAGCAGGAGACUCAGAUGCCAUUUAUCUGGAUUUCCGAGAUGCACAGCUUGAUGCUGAAUAAAAGUAUCUCAAGCCAUCCAUGUGAAGAAAAAGCUCUUUUCUAAAAAUCUGAACUCAAAUAUGAAAAGCACAGGUCGCUGUGGGUCUUAUUGGGAGCCCAGAGAGCUGGCAGCAAGGCCUCCCUGAACUAUGCAUCUCUGCAGUGCACACUGAUAAACCAUGCUGUGCUGUUGAUUUGUGACAGAUGAAUAUCCUGUCUCAUUAUCCUGAGCUAACCCUCCUAUUUUUGCCCUUUUUGUUGAAAGGAAUUAUUGUUAAUGCAUUUAUUUAAUUCGGGACUCCCAGUCAGACUUCUAAAGCAAAAAGCCAGUCAGCGUGAGGCACCUAGCGUAUUGGGUCUGCAAAGUAAGUGUUAAAUAAUUAUCAUUACUCCAUUGUGCUACCCAGCUGUGCUGUCUCACCUGCCAAAACCCCUCCGGGAGGACCCCACCUUAGGGGAGAAGACCCUUAUCAGGCCAGAGGUUUCUGACACAGAGGCUCAGGCUCUUGUCUGCCCAGGCACAGUGACACCACCAGACCUCACAAAGGCCUCAGGGCUGCUAUAAAUAAAUCACGGCUCUGUGCAAUACAGUGCCUCAAAAGGGCUGUUCCUUUCCAGGACCCAUCAGGGCUUGGGUGGGCAAACAGGAAGCCCCCCAGGCUCGUCGCUGUGGCUCUCACAUGCAUGCCCCUGUGUGGGUGCCUGAGCCUAAGCAAGCCCAGCUACGGAGGCACCUUUGUCUCCCACCUGAGCCUUGUUUCAUCAUUCACACCCUGCUCCCAAGGAAGCUCUCCAGGGAGAGAAGAUUCUUCUCCAUCCCCAACCUGAUGGAAAAACAUGACCUCUUGCAAAACCACUAUUUAAGAAGAUGCUAAAGUUGAGAGUGUAGAAAAAAGACAACAAAUGUGCGUGUCUGGAAACCUCUGGCAAAGUUUUCUAGUUUUUCCUCAUCACAAGGACAAGACCUCUUCAGACAGACCAGUUAGUUUUUCCGAAGGGGAGACUUGCUGAUUUCAAAACUUUGGACCCAGCUGGAACACGUUCUCUUCCCUACUUUUGUUUCUUCUGAGGGUUUGUGGAAACACAGCUAUCUUCCAGCCUCAGGACCCGUACGCACGUACAGUAAGUAAGAAGUGGAUGGAAACAGUUCCUCUCACCUCCAUGCAGCUUAAGUUCUAGUGGGGAAGACCCGCAAUAAACAAGACACGUCCCGCAACGAACGCGUUCACGGGCGUCGUGGAAAUCUAGCUUGUGCAUGACGCCCAGCUGCGGCCCAAACCCAGUGACUCAGCCCAGCGCGUUGCUAGGGACGCGCUCCCGCCGUUGCCAGGCCGUGACCCCUCGGGCGGACUCUCGCGAGGGUCCUCGAGACUUCGCGCGGAACCUAGCAGCGGUUGCCUGGAGACCGCGCAGCCCAGGCUGGGCUGGCGCGUUGGUCGGCGGGUCGCGGCCGCCGGGACUCCGGAGCCAUGGCGCCCAAAAAGAAAGGGAAGAAAGGGAAAGCCAAAGGUACCCCGAUUGUUGAUGGUCUCGCGCCGGAGGACAUGAGCAAGGAACAGGUGGUGGAACACAUUGGCCGCAUCCGGGAGGAGCUGGACCGUGAGCGGGUCGAGCGCAACUACUUCCAGCUGGAGCGGGACAGGAUCUACACUUUCUGGGAGAUCACGCGGAGGCAGCUGGAGGAGAAGAAGGCUGAGCUGAGGAACAAAGACCGGGAGAUGGAGGAGGCCGAGGAGAGGCACCAGGUGGAGAUCAAGGUCUAUAAGCAGAAGGUGAAGCACUUGCUGUACGAGCAUCAGAACAGCUUGAUGGAGAUGAAGGCGGAGGGCACCGUGGUCAUGAAGCUGGCGCAGGAGGAGCGCCGUGCGCAGGAGGGUGCCCUGUGCAGGGACAUGCGGGCGCUGCAGGUGGAGCUGAAGGAACAGGAGCUGGCUGGCGAGCUGGUGGUGAAGAACCUGAGGCUGAAACACACUGAGGAGAUCACCAAGAUACGCAAGGACUUUGAGCGGCAGGUGCGAGAAAUCGAGGCCAAGUACGAUAAGAAGGUCAGGAUGCUUAGGGAUGAGCUUGACCUGCGCAGGAAGACAGAGAUCCACGAGGUGGAGGAGAGGAAGAACGGCCAGAUCAGCAUGCUUAUGCAGCGCCACGAGGAGGCCUUCACGGACAUCAGGAACUAUUACAGCGAAAUCACCCUCAACAACCUGGCUCUCAUCAACUCCCUCAAGGAGCAGAUGGAGGCCAUGCGGAAGAAAGAGAGGCACCUGGAGAAGGAGAUGAUGGAGGUGUCCGCGCAGAACAGGCUCCUGGCAGACCCCCUGCAGAAGGCUCGGGACGAGAUGAGCGAGAUGCAGAAGCAGCUCGGGGGCUACAAGAGGGACAAGCAGAUCCUGCUGUGCACGAAAGCCCGUCUGAAAGUCACCGAGGAGGAGCUGAAGAGCCUGCAGUGGGAGCACGAGGUUCUGGAGCAGCGCUUCAUCCAGGUGCAGCAGGAGCGGGACGGGCUGUACCGGAAGUUCACCGCAGCCAUCCUGGAGGUGCAGCAGAAGGUGGGCCUCAAGAACCUCGUCUUGGAGCGCAAGGUACAGGCCCUGGCCACCGCGGUGGAGAAGAAGGAGGUGCAGUUCAACGAGGUGCUGGCGGCCUCCAACCUGGACCCUGCGGCCCUGACCCUCGUGUCCCACAAGCUGGAGGACGUUCUGGAAUCGAAGAACAGCACCAUCAAGGACUUGCAGUACGAGCUGGCCCGGGUCUGCAAGGCCCACAAUGACUUGCUGCGUACCUAUGAGGCGAAGCUCCUGGCCUUUGGGGUCCCCCUGGACAACGUAGGCUUCAAGCCCCUGGAGACGGCCGUGAUCGGGCAGACGCUGGGCCAGGGCCCUGCAGGACUCGUGGGCACCCCAACGUAGCCCCUGCCCGGGGCCACUGCCCGGAUGACACCCACCUCACGCACCGAGGACGGCAGGUGAGUGUGAUGCUGGAGUUGGAGCAUUCCACCACCCCACCCCCCCUGCCCCGCCCCCUCCCCGGCCCCGGGCGGACAGACAGAGGCCCUAAGGAAGACACACGCUGAGGAGGAAAGAAGCUGCAUCCCUGGAGUUGCCGCUGGACCGCCUGGCAGGUGUCGGUCGGAAACGAUGGGUAUACGGACACGGCAGUGCUGCCUGUGGUGCCUCGUGAGACCAACAGAAGCUUCCGGACAAGCAGCUGCUGGGGCGCCGCCAAGUCUGUGAGUAGGCUGGCGCCUGGGGAGGGAGAGCUGGAGGGAGUCCUGCUGGCCCCGGAAUCAGGAGCAGUCAGUCAGGUUGCUGCUUUCAGGGGCACGAAUUGGGAGCAUGAAGGGAAUGGGGCCAGAGCAGCCGCGGGGGAGGGUCUGUGAGCAGCAGGGACACGGCAGGGGUGCGGCCGCCAGCAGGCGACCCCGGACAACAGCAGCCCCACGAUCCCCGAAGGGCCCCCAUGCUUUGUGGCCCUUGUCGACCCAUCUCUGUGGGAUUCUGCCUGUGGCCCCCCGAGCCCCCCAGCCCCAUUGCUGUGGAGCAGGGUCUCUGCUGCUUGAAACCACAAAAACCUUUGCAGUCCUGGAGCUGUCCCCCGCUCAUGUCAGGGGGAACCUUCAGGGCAGUAAGAGUUUCUUUGAUAUUCGUACUUUAGUUUCCCAGAGUCUUCAUAUUUCCCCUGAUUUUGCUGCCGUGUGUCCCUGAAACCCUCUGUUGUCUCAUGGGGUGGGCUUCCUCCGUCACAGACCCCUCAAAGGCCUCCCGCCGGGUGAACGUGGGCUUGUCACUCGGCUGCACAGUCUCCACGGGGCCCCUUGUCCCACGCUUGCUGUCCCCAAGCUGGGUCUAGAGAAGGCCCGUCCCAGCAAGAACCCACUUUCUGGCUUUAUCUCUCGUCCCAACGACCGGGGAGUCUUCCAGCCUCGGAAAGAUCACUCAGGGUUUCCUGCUUCAGUGCUCACGGCAGAGAGCUUGCGUCCUCACAGGAAGCACUGCAGCUGCACGUGACCCGUGACCACGCUCCCAGGGACGGACCACGAGGGGUGAUGGCUAAUAUUUGUGGUAGAAGAUGUCUACUGUGCCAUCAGAAGCCGGCAUCUCAUGGAAUCCCCAGCCUCUUCCACGACCGUAGAGCUGGUUCCUGACACCCAGCUCUGCCCACCUCCACCUCUGCAACUCUCAUGUGUGGUACCUGCAAUAUAACAGGUGCUCAAAAAAUGUUUCAUGGCCUUCCCUGGUGGCGCAGUGGUUGAGAGUCCGCCUGCGGAUGCAGGGGACACGGGUUCGUGCCCCGGUCCGGGAAGAUCCCACAUGCCGCGGAGCGGCUGGGCCCGUGAGCUACGGCCGCUGAGCCUGCGCGUCCGGAGCCUGUGCUCCGCAAUGGGAGAGGCCACAGCAGUGAGAGGCCCGCGUACUGCAAAAAAAAAAAAAAAAAAAAAAAAAGUUUCAUGAAUAACUUCAGAACUCAGCGGUUGUCUGACAUAUUUAGAAAAGGAGUGGCCGCCCCUAUUGCCAGCACCCCUGAAACCCCGCAGGAGACACAACCUAGUGUGGUCCCUUCUCUCGCCUGGGGGAGCGUCACACCAGCCGCCCUGCCGCCCUGUCUCCCUGCCUGUAACAAACACACCAUAAGGAGGCUCGCUGGCCCCUGGGCCAGUGAUGCUGUAAAAACCUGGCCUUGUCCUUGUGAGAUUUGGUGUGAAGACAACACAGAAACAGAACCAGCAAAGAAGGAUCCUGGUCAGGAGUAAAUCCCUCUCCACAGUGACCCUGUGAGACCCCAGCGCUCCCUCUGCUAAGCCUGCUCCGGCUGUUUGGGAAGGGGCCCUUGUGACUCUCCGGGCAGCGGGUGGGAGGGAUAACCCAGUCUCUCUUCUGCCUCCUGAGACCAAGGUGGGCAUCGGGGAAACAUCCACACCUCCGACGGGGGUCCAGAGCGGGUGUCCCGAAGGACAGGACCUAGCCAUCCAGUGAGGCCAGGUCUUGUCCACACCGCACUGACCUGCUGGAGGGUCUUGGGUUUCCUGGCCUCCAGCAUUCCCACCGCCAACCCCAGCCUGCAGCGUCUCGGGAGCCCCUCGCUGGCAGCCCCCCCGGGGGCAGAAAGCCGCACAAUCACGGAGAAGGACGAUAAGCACGCAGGACAGAUGAGACCAGCAGUGAGUGUCCCAUGUCCCCUCUGCUCCCCAGGGAGCACCCCAGCCCGGGCCAGCCAUGGCCUUUGUCCUCUUCGGCAGUGUCUUUGCAGUUAAUAGUCCCAGACACCUUCCUCUGGAGGGGAAGAUGCAGUGACCGCGGGAGGGGUGAGGGCGGGGCGUGCUUUAGCCCUAAACCCGGGAAGCUGCAGAACUUCCUUGAGCCCCGAAUGCACCACAUGGGUAACCCUGCAGCAAGCCUGGCCAAGAUCUCGACAGAUUCUCUCUGGAAACACUUUUCAUGUCCAACAAGAGAAGGUCUGUUAAACCCCCGUCCGACCCCGGGACGCGGGGCACGUUGUAACCAUGGAAACUGAAGGGAAGGCGUUUGAGAGGCUUCUUCCUCGGUGUCUCCCCCAGUGGCCCCUGAAGGUACUGCACCCGGAGGAGAAGCGCUCGCUCUUGUCUCCUCACUUUGGGCCGGGCGGUGCCCACCCCUCACAGCCCCUGCUGCCCGCCUGCUUCUGAGUUGCAUGGAAACCUACCGGUCACGAGGCCAAAGCGGGCUCGUCUUGGUGAGCAAAAACAGAGGCCGGUGACAAGGUAAGAUGGGGGCUCGAAAGAUUUCGUAGAAGAAAAGCGUGCACGUGUGUUCCUGUGUGUGUGUGCACAUGUGUCUGUGUGUGGUGACCAGAUGCUGCAUUAAUUGGUGUUGCCUAUACAAUUAUGAGUGGCUUUUAUUUUCUGUAUUUUCUAAAUUUCUUUUUUUUCUAAGCACCUGCAUAUUAACGAGAAAAAGAAAAAAACAGCAAAGCUGUUGACAUCAAGCACGAGAGCUUGCAAAAUAAGAUCUUAAAGUACAUAUUUCAGAAUGUUACAGGAGUUUUCUCUGGGUGAUAGAUGAACGGCCUCCUACUUUUGAAAACGAACUUAAGGGAACCUCUUUGGUAAGUUUUCAGGGGCCUGAGCUUUGAGGACAGCGUCUGUGGGUGACACCCUCCCCACACGCAGCUCUGCCUCAGGUACUGGCUGGGCUAGUGGCCGACCAGGCGGAGUCUGGCAGCCAAAGACCAGUUCACCCUCUUGUGCUCCGCGCUCACCUGCUCAGCUAGGGUCCCGGUAGAGCAGCAGGCCGGUGGGGCUGGCACAGCCAUGGGGCCACUGCGGUCAGAGCGGCACAUGUGAUGGAGGCUGCUGGUGUCCUGUGUGGCCAUCCAGGGCACCCGCAGUGUCAGGUGGAGGCCCUGCAGGCGUCCCGAGCCGAGCCCAGCGCGUGUCAGGCGGCGCACAUCCCUCCGAGCCCCCCUUCAGCACGCAGCUGCCCGUGGCGGGAGGGUGUAUAAGCCGCCAGCCCCCUUGCUAGAGGUGAGCCGAGACUGGGUGAGAGGCCGGAGUGCCUGUUUGCGCCUGAACUGUGGGGUCGCACACCAUCGCCGCCACCACACAGGUCAUCCAUCUUCUGUGCAGGCCGCGGAUGAUGGGGGCCAGGGACUCGGGGCGUCUUGGGGGCUGGCGGCCUCACGAGGAA
Globicephala melas (long-finned pilot whale) is the source of this 7102-nucleotide RNA transcript. It is a transcript of the gene named growth arrest specific 8, with no coding region annotated. The record is from RefSeq and is a predicted model, not a curated record. Lineage: Eukaryota; Metazoa; Chordata; Mammalia; Artiodactyla; Delphinidae.